AACGUAGGAGACAAACGUUAUCCGGAGUUACUGGGCGUAAAGGGCGUGUAGGUGGUAAUGUAAGUCUGGCGUUGAAAUUUUUCGGCUUAACCGGGAAAGGUCGUCGGAUACUGCAUGACUAGAGGACGGUAGAGGCGUGUGGAAUUCCGGGGUGUAGUGGUGAAAUGCGCAGAUAUCAGGAGGAACACCGAUGGCGAAGGCAGGUCUCUGGGCCACUA
RNAcentral lists this ribosomal RNA (218 nucleotides) under uncultured bacterium. RNAcentral describes it as "partial 16S ribosomal RNA". It matches the Rfam family "Bacterial small subunit ribosomal RNA", at positions 524 to 739 of the family's 1533-position model. The record is from RNAcentral.